GAGUUUGAUCCUGGUCAGGAUGAACGCUGGCGGCGUGCUUAACACAUGCAAGUCGAGCGAAGCGAUUCAAAUGAAGUUUUCGGAUGGAUUUGAAUUGACUUAGCGGCGGACGGGUGAGUAACGCGUGGGUAACCUGCCUCAUACAGGGGGAUAACAGUUGGAAACGGCUGCUAAUACCGCAUAAGCACACAGUGCCGCAUGGUACGGUGUGAAAAACUCCGGUGGUAUGAGAUGGACCCGCGUCUGAUUACGGUAGUUGGUGAGGUAACGGCCACCAAGCCGACGAUCAGUAGCCGACCU
RNAcentral lists this ribosomal RNA (300 nucleotides) under bacterium enrichment culture clone ALO1_GLFRUDD03GFJN7. RNAcentral's name for it is "bacterial SSU rRNA". It matches the Rfam family "Bacterial small subunit ribosomal RNA", at positions 9 to 293 of the family's 1533-position model. The record is from RNAcentral.